This 757-nucleotide ribosomal RNA is filed under the name uncultured bacterium. RNAcentral's name for it is "bacterial SSU rRNA". It matches the Rfam family "Bacterial small subunit ribosomal RNA", at positions 37 to 831 of the family's 1533-position model. The record is from RNAcentral.
UGGCGGCUGCUACACAUGCAGUCGACGACAUUUAUAAUUUAAAUUUAAGUGGCGGACGGGUGAGUAACACGUGAGAAUUUGCCUUUAGGUUGGGAAUAACAAUUGGAAACGAUUGCUAAUACCCGUAGUGGCCAAUUGGUUAAAGAAUUAAUAAUUUGCCUAAAGAGAAGCUCGCGGCUGAUUAGCUUGUUGGUAAGGUAAUGGCUUACCAAGGCGACGAUCAGUAUCUGGUUUGAGAGGAUGAUCAGACACACUGGAACUGAGACACGGUCCAGACUCCUACGGGAGGCAGCAGUGGGGAAUUUUCCGCAAUGGGCGAAAGCCUGACGGAGCAAUACCGCGUGAGGGAAGACGGCUCAUGGGUUGUAAAUCUCUUUUUUCAGGGAGGAUAUAUUGGACGAUACCUGAAGAAUAAGCAUCGGCUAACUCCGUGCCAGCAGCCGCGGUAAGACGGAGGAUGCAAGUGUUAUCCGGAAUUACUGGGCGUAAAGCGUUUGUAGGUGGUCUAAUAAGUCAACUGUUAAAUCUUGGAGCUUAACUUCAAAAUCGCAGUCGAAACUAUUAAACUAGAGUAUAGUAGAGGUAAAGGGAACUUCCAGUGGAGCGGUGAAAUGUGUAGAGAUUGGAAAGAACACCGAUGGCGAAAGCACUUUACUGGGCUAUUGCUGACACUCAGAAACGAAAGCUAAGGUAGCAAAUGGGAUUAGAUACCCCAGUAGUCUUAGCUGUAAACUAUGGAUACUAGAUGUUGAACAGA